Molecule: long non-coding RNA, 1012 nt
Organism: Papaver somniferum (opium poppy)
Lineage: Eukaryota; Viridiplantae; Streptophyta; Magnoliopsida; Ranunculales; Papaveraceae
Exons: 2
Source: RefSeq, a predicted model, not a curated record
UAUGGGGGUGUUCACAAGGUAUCUUGUCCUCCCAAACAAGUCCAUUUACAUUAAAAGAAACAAAUUGGAAGAAGAUUGAAAAUCAAAAACGAUUAUGAAGAGACGAAAAGAAGCAUUAACGUUUAUGAUUUGAUGUUCUUUUUCGGUCGCUAACAUUAGAUGCUUUUUUCUAAAACUUCUCAUCACUCUAUUUUCUUUCCUAUGUUCACGCGAUCACUUUUGGGUCGUCUCUUGUUACAGCCAAACACAUAAUUAACUAUCACAUUGUCCAAAAUAUAAGCGGUUAGAUGCACAUGAUCUCACGAUUAGAAAAUUUUGUCAAAACCUUUUGUUAAGUGAUCCCGACUUUUUACAUUGCUCCGUGGUAAACAUUGUAGUUCUUAAAUGGAUUAUAGGUUUCUGGCAGGUCGAGAAUUCUGAUUUGCCGCGUUUGGAUCAGGAUGUUAUCUUCUUCAUCAUCAUCAGGGGUUCCUGGAUCAUGUCCUAAAAAUUACAGCAUCUUCGAAAUGGAGAAAGAUUACAGUAGGUGGAAUCUCAUAUACAAGCUCGACCUAGAAAGAAUUAUAAAUGCAUAACACCUAGACACGCUGAAGCAUUAUAACGAUACCAUCGAUUAUUAUGUGUGGGUAAUGUUUCUCGGGGAAGCCGAAGAGAAAUCAUCAACAAAAUUGGUGUUGUUGAUAAAUGCUACUCAAGUUAUAUCCUAUGAUCUGAAAGAGAUGAGCUAUAUGGAGAUCUAUCACUUCGAUUCAAAAACUCUCACCAUGACUCCAAGCUCAGGCUCACGGGGUUAUGUUCAUCAGUACAUAAAGUCACUUGCCUGUGUUUGAAUAUUUUCAUGGCGUCUCUCACUUAUUUCACCUUACUAAAGUUAAUCUCCUACUUAAUAAUGUCAUGUUCAGCCCUUGUUUUGUAUCAUGCAAUAAGUUCUGAAAUGAACCGAAAAUAUAUCCUGUUAUGUUGUUUACUAUCGUUAUUGGCUUGCAUUACUGCUUUACCAUGCACGGGUCUA